GUGUUGUAUGAAAGGAGAGAAGGUUAGCACUCCCCUUGAUAAGGAUGGAAGAGGCCCUUGUGGCCUGUAGAACAUGCAUAUGGUUAAGGCACUGCCACCUACUUCAUGGCAUCUAACCAUGUUUGGAU
Small nuclear RNA from Pogoniulus pusillus (Red-fronted tinkerbird), 128 nucleotides. The record is from RefSeq and is a predicted model, not a curated record. NCBI's taxonomy places the organism in Eukaryota, Metazoa, Chordata, Aves, Piciformes, Lybiidae.